This 2174-nucleotide long non-coding RNA is filed under the name Homo sapiens (human). Its description in RNAcentral is "HSALNT0177598". The record is from RNAcentral. Lineage: Eukaryota; Metazoa; Chordata; Mammalia; Primates; Hominidae.
AAAAAAUAUAAAAUAUGGUUAAAAAAUUCUCCUACUUAAGACUCCCAGACCCCUAGUUUUCCUCCCUAAAGGCAACUGACAUUACCAGUUUCCUGGGUAUCCAUGCAGGGAUAUUUUAUGCAUAAACAACCAAAUCUCUAUACAUGUCCAUAGAGAGAGGCAGACGUAUCUGCAUGUGCAUAAACACUCGUGUGUGUGUCCUUUUAUCCCAAAGGAAACACUUCUUUUUCCCUUGACAAAGGACAUCCUCUGCAUCUAGCUUCUAGAAAGUGCUGCCAAUUUGGGGACCAAGGGAGGGAGGCUGCAGAGGAACAUCGUUUGGUCAAAUGUGAAAUGUGAUCAGGAAGCCGGUGCUCAGCAAACUUAUCUGAAGCUCUUGGGGACCCCACAAAGAUGAGCGGGUCCCCUUCCCAAUUUUCGGACCGUCUUGGCAGAGGCUCCCUGUCAUCAAGGACCUGAGGUUGUCACAGCCGGAUGGUGUGGGAGCUGGCACUGCCGGGGCUCCCGCUGCCUGGGACACGUACGGCUGCCCAGUGAUCCUGAGCGCCGACCCCUGAGCACCUCAGUGUCCGUGACUGUGGAGCGGAGCAGGGAAGGGGCUCUGGAAGGGUCUGAAUCUGGUGUGUCCAGUGUGAUCCCUGCACCCAUGCCCGGAGCUGUGCCUGGGACCCUGCCCCAAGCAAAGUAAUAAUCUGAAUGAUAUCCUCAAAGGAGCCUGGCUUGGGCUAACAAGGAAGAACUUCCAACGUGGAGAGCUGUCCUGGCACCAUUUCUUCCUGCUGUAUUAGUUGAAGACCUACUGUGUUCAGGGCCGUGAGCCAGGGCACAACCACCCCUUGGGAGCACACUCUGCCUCAACCCUGGAGUGGCUCCGAAAUGAGUCUUCAGUCCACAAGACUGAGGGUUGCCAAUCCUUCUCGGGCAUCUUGAAGCAGACCAGCCACGUUGCAAGUGCUUGGAGGCCACGGAUGACUGGUGGCUGCUGUUCUGGGAGACAGAAUCCUAUAGCAUCCCCAGUCCUGCAGCACACAGGUGGGACAAUUCCAGCUUGAUGUCUCAGCCAGCGGGUUCCCACGUCCUCCCCGCCUCUCCCAGGCAGAAGACAGAGUGACCCAGGUAACCAGGUAUGGACAGGCGUAUCCCUGGGAGAAUUUUAGCAGGCUGCCCCAGCAGCAGGGUGUGUCUGUAACACCGUGCCCCCUGCCCCUCUCAAAUCCACACAGUGGGCAGCUUACACAGGGACAGAAACCACACUGACUGUCGUUCCUGCCACCUGACUAUUGUCCUGUGGCCCAGGGCUGCCCAGAGCCCCUUCCUGCCCAAGUGGCAGCUGGCCCGCUGGAUCUGCAGGUGGGUCUUGGGGACACUUCUCAUCAGCUCAGCCACGCCGCCCGGGCAGCUCCUCAUGAAAGGCCUGCCUUGUGCGCCUGGGUGUGCCCAGGCCGCCGACGUCACCCGAAGCCCCUUCUCAUAAAUUCCAGCUCCGAGGUUUGCAGUUAUCGGGAGGAAGUUUCCAAUUGCUGGCUCACAUGUGGGAAAAUAUGUAAGCAAGUGAGAGGCCCUUUUGUCUGGGGCUCAGAGGGGGCCAGUAACCAGGAGGGAGGGUGGCCUGUCCCCAGUGGCGGGUGCAGAGGAAGCGGCUGCGCUCAGGUUUAAUGAAGUGCCAUGAAUCAUGACCACCCAUCAGGCGCAGAUGCUAUAAAUCACCUGUGACGGGCUUGGCUUGUUUGUUCUUUCUGAAGCCAAUACAUUGAUCAGGGCAGUGGACACGUGAGAAGGCUCACUGGAGGCUCAGACCCUCAGCGACCUGCCGAGGUGAAAUCAAACCCUCUUCUUUUAACUUGCAGGAAAACAAGGCCAUAAAAAAGGAACUCCUACUAAUGAAACCUCCUAGAUUCCAAGGAGGAAAACGUAGCUCUCAGACCAAGUCCGUUUUCGCCCUUGCAUCUGAAAGGGAGUCCAGGGAAUUGCUAAUUUUGAACUUUCUAUACACCCUUCCUGCCUCUGGAUGUGGCCGCCUGACUCGAAUUCCUUUGCACAAUAAAAUGAGGGGGAAAAAAAUCACAUCACUUCAGCAAAACACAGGCUCGAUUUUUCUUGAUUAGCGGAAAAGUGUGUGCUAUUUAAAAAGACACGUCAUAUAACUUUUUAUUUUUUAGCAUUCCCAAGCAAAA